CAAGGAGAGGGGAAGGGAAAGCUGGAGAAGGGAAGAAAAAAAAGAGGGAGAGGCGGAUGGAAGUGGGAAGAAAUAGAAGAAGAUAUAAGAUAAAGGUGGAAAAGUGUCUCCAAAAAGAUUUCAGUCUGCGCUGAGCUGGCUGACAGUGAAUUUUUUGGAAGUCAGCAUGGUACAAAGAACAUUUGAAAUGGCCCAUUUAACAGCACCGUACUCCACUCCCAGCCGAUGCCACCAUUUGCAUACUUCAUAUCAGAUGAAGAUGGAUGGUGAAAAUCAGUGUCACUGAGAUGAGCGUUUUAUCAAGCGGAGGCAGGAGCAGAGCGGAUUUAUCAGCUAGAAGAGCAAUGACAGUAGGAUUACCAUGGGCUAAUGGAAACUGCAAUGACCCCUGCACUUGAUGUUCUCCAAGAAGUCUGUCAGCGGUCUAACUUCAGGAUCACUUUGUAAAAUGUAACUUUGUACAAGACAAAUCGCAACAUUAAAAUACUUCCUCUUAUUAAGCUACCAACAGAGUCUGUCAGAUAGCUUAUUUUAGCUAGUUUUAUAGCAUUUUCCAGUUAU
This is a long non-coding RNA of Oreochromis niloticus (Nile tilapia), 561 nucleotides long. RefSeq lists it as uncharacterized. The record is from RefSeq and is a predicted model, not a curated record. NCBI's taxonomy places the organism in Eukaryota, Metazoa, Chordata, Actinopteri, Cichliformes, Cichlidae. The transcript is spliced from 3 exons.